CAUGUAAGGAGACACUGCUGAAAAUGGAAUUUGUGACUACUUUGCUCAGGGUCUAGGGAAAUAGAGCCCAGAUAGAACAGAUUGGGUUUUGGUAUUUGCCUAUCUAAGCCACUGCCAACUUGGUAGAAGCGAUAACUGAAUUUUGGAGAUAUUUACAACAAAAAUACAUGCAGUAGAGUUUCUGCUGUUUUAGUCAGACAGAAUGCAGAGAAUGUUGUGGCAGAUGUGAGACACAUGCCUUUGGGAACUGGUUAAUGUAGAAGUGGUUUGGAGAGCUAGUUUCCAAGAGCUCUCCCUGGAGUGACUGAAAAGAUAGCACCUUUACUUGAUUGCUCUAAGUGCCAGCCAGGAAGCAGCCCUUUUGCAGGGUGGAGCCCAAGGCUUAGAGACAUGAUUUGGACUCAUUUUGAGAGACAGAAAUCUUCGGUCAAAAUUUAUUUUCUUUGCAGUUUCACUGAUGCCAUAAUAGAUAGUGAAGGAUAUAAAGGGAUACUAUGGUGAAAGUUAUUUUACCAGGUAGGAAACUUGUGAGAGGAUUUAUAUUUCAAAAUGACAGUGACCUAAAACUCACAUCAAAAAGUGUCUUAAAGAAAAAGUGUCCAGAAUUGUAGCCUAUGGAGCUAUAUGACUCAGAAUCUCACCCAACAAAAUGACAGAUUUUAAACAUCUGGCACUUUUAUUUCUCAUUUCUGUAGAACUUGGUACACAGAACAAGUUGUCUGUCAACUUGCUACAGAUGAAGACAUUAAUUUCAGACUUUACAAAAUCUCCCCAUUUUAAAAAAAUAGCGUUUUAUUUCACCAUUCCUUUUCAGCAAUUUAGGACAUUUAGUGGCUAUGUUUUAUUAGGGUCAUACUUUUUAUAUGUUUUUGUCCUUUAUAGUAUCUUUAUAGUGUCUUCAAAUACUAAUGUUAUACAGGUAUAAGUUCUGAGAUACUCAACUUUUCCUUUUUUUUUUAAAUUUUUUAAGCAAUGAGAUCAACUUUUCCUUUUAAGUUGUACAACCAAACAUUUCAAACAUUUAGAGAUGAACUGUUGAAAAGUGCUUACUCUUAUAUCAUCUCCUUAUUUCUUUCUCCUGGACCCUUGGCUCUGCCCUCACUUCACACUAACACCUGAGUAAGAGAAAAACACUCUAAAUAUUCUUAGUUAGUGAUUCUAGGUCCUUUUAUAGUUUUAAACCAGGACACUAAGUGAUUCAGACUACUUCUCUCUGAUAACUUAAUUAAAACUUCCAGAAAAUGCUGUUAUCAUAGGUGGUGGUAGAGGUGUGAGCAAUAGCAGGAAGCAGAGCAGAGAAGGGAGUUGGUCUAAAUAAAGUAUUUGAAAUAUUCUUGGUGUCAGUUUCCCAGAGAUCUAAAUGAAUCUUUUAACUUUCUCAGGAGUAAAUUUUGAAGAAUCAAGGGAAGAAAUGGAGGUAGGAUGCAGAAGGAAAAUAAGCAGGGGGAAAUUAUGUUUGUAUCCAUUGAUUUAUGUCUAUUGCUAUAUUUCUAUUUUUUAUAGGUGUUGCAAAUAAAAUGGAAGUUGGUCUUCUACUUUAGCACUUCUCAGGUCUCAAGUUCUGACUCACAGCUGUUAAGGCUGUUCAUCCUUGACUGAUCAUAGGCAGUAAAUUGAGAAGUGACUAACACAAUUUUAACUGAGCUGUCAGAUCUGACAUCAUAUGAUCCAUUCUUCAUUUGUACUUUCACGCUAUCAAUUCUCAGUUUCUAAAAACAAAUAAUGGAAAACAUGGACUUUUUGCAUAACUUCUCACAUUUUAUAUCUGGUAUCCUUUUCUGUAACUCAUGACUUUUCUCAUUUUUGACAAUAUAAGAUCCCUGGGUAAUGUUCAGAAGACUUUUUUCAGGAUAUGAAUGCAUAUGUUGUCAUUAAAUUAAAUUCUCCAUAAGAGUUUGCUUAGAUCAGCAUUUCUAAAAUGUGUCAAUAUUAGCAAAACAUUGAAAAUUACAUGUUUCUGCCCUUUCUUAAAUGCCAUGUUGUUUUAUUUGUUGUUGAACUAAACUAGGUACUCCAUCUGUUUAGAAGCCAUUUCAGUGAACACAUUUCUAGGAAAUGGGCACUAGACUUGGAACCCAUUUUUGGAGAUCCCAGGCAUCAAUGAGAGAUCAGAGUAGCAAAAUAGUGAAAUACGUUGAACUUCAUCAGAGAAGCUAGAAUCCUUCAUGCAACCCAGAAUGAACUAUCAAAAUGUUGACACAAUUUUACUAUAAUUUAUGCUUUUAUGUAUUUAUUUAAUGAAGCCUUUAACUUUCUCUUAUUUUUAAAUAAGAUACUCUGAUGAAACAUAGCAUUUCCCUGUUAACUUUACAUACAUAAAUGAGGCAUCCUUAAAGAAAUUCUGGGUUGUUCUUCCUACCUUAAAUACUCUGUUCUUUUCCCUUGAUUGUGGUCAUUAAUCAACUUCAUCAGAUAAUGCCAUAAUAAGAACACAGGUGGAACAAAAAGAAAAUGCUCUAGUAAAGGUUUUGUAUAUUUUCUCAAACUGACAGAUAUAUAAAUUGAUUCGGAUUUGCUUAUAGCAGACUAUUGUCUUCUAUUUCAGCAAAUUAUUGUGUAUAUGAAAAUAUGCAAAGGCCUACCUUUGAGAUUUCUUACGAUUGUUUGUUAUAAAAGUAUUGAACUAACAAAUCAGUUGUUCAAACAAUUUACAGAGUAGGGAGUUGUCAUUGUGACUCAGUAGUAAUGAACCCGACUAAUAUCCGUGAGGACACAGGUUUGAUCCCUAGCCUCCCUCAGCGAGUAAAGAUUCUGGUGUUGCCAUGAGUGGUGGUGUAGGUCAGAGAAGGCAGCUCAGAUCUGGUGAUACUGUGGCUGUGGUAUAGACCAGCACCUAGAGCUCUAAUUGGACGCCCUAGCCUGGGAACUUCCAUAUGCCAUGAGUGUGGCC
Molecule: long non-coding RNA, 2890 nt
Filed under: Sus scrofa (pig)
Lineage: Eukaryota; Metazoa; Chordata; Mammalia; Artiodactyla; Suidae
Description: lncRNA (ENSSSCG00050045884.1)
Source: RNAcentral